This 425-nucleotide ribosomal RNA is filed under the name Fusobacteriota bacterium. Its description in RNAcentral is "Fusobacteria bacterium partial 16S ribosomal RNA". It matches the Rfam family "Bacterial small subunit ribosomal RNA", at positions 355 to 776 of the family's 1533-position model. The record is from RNAcentral. Lineage: Bacteria; Fusobacteriati; Fusobacteriota.
UGAGGAAUAUUGGUCAAUGGGCGAGAGCCUGAACCAGCCAAGUCGCGUGAAGGAAGACUGCCCGCAAGGGUUGUAAACUUCUUUUGUAUGGGAUUAAAGUCACCUACGUGUAGGUGUUUGCAGUUACCAUACGAAUAAGCAUCGGCUAACUCCGUGCCAGCAGCCGCGGUAAUACGGAGGAUGCGAGCGUUAUCCGGAAUUAUUGGGUUUAAAGGGUGCGUAGGUUGCAAGGGAAGUCAGGGGUGAAAAGCUAUAGCUCAACUAUGGUCUUGCCUUUGAAACGCUCUGGCUAGAGUGUACUGGAGGUACGUGAAACGUGUGGUGUAGCGGUGAAAUGCAUGAAUAUCACACAGAACUCCGAUUGCGCGGGCAGCGUACUACAUUACAACUGACACUGAAGCACGAAAGCGUGGGUAUCAAACAGG